RNA transcript from Pongo pygmaeus (Bornean orangutan), 1256 nucleotides. It is a transcript of the gene named small proline rich protein 4, with no coding region annotated. The transcript is spliced from 3 exons. The record is from RefSeq and is a predicted model, not a curated record. NCBI's taxonomy places the organism in Eukaryota, Metazoa, Chordata, Mammalia, Primates, Hominidae.
GGGAAGAGGAAGUGGGGGAGGUCUGGCCUGGAGGGGAAAAUUAAGGGGCUGAUUAAAGUGAGGCUGACCCUGAAAAAUGAACAGUAUUCCAUCCACAUAAGACAGAAAGCUCAGGAGACGUUAUUAGUCAUGGUCCCCACCCAAUGACAGUGACUUGUCCACCAUGGAGAUGCUGGCCGCGGUGAUGGAGUGGAAAUGAACCCCAGGCCAGGCCCCCACCCAGCUCCACCCUGAGCAGCUGCAUGUGGUUGAGCAGGUCCUUUAACUUCUUUGGGCCUGCCUCUUUAAACUAUCAGUAAAAUUGUCAUGAGGAUUAAAUGAGGUCAGCAAAGCAAGUCCCUGGAGGAAGUGCAGGUGGGAGAAGUGGGUGAGGAAUUCCCUGGGAGGUGGUAAUCAAGACCACACCAAGUGCCCGGGGCAGGUUGGGGGCCCUAUAAAGGCUCCUGGAGUGGCUCUGCCUGUGGACUAGGGCUCAGCCUCCUCUCCUGGGGUCCAGCUGGCUGCCUCUGGCUCACCCGUUCCUAGAGCAAUGUCUUCCCAGCAGCAGCAGCAGCAGCAGCAGCAGUGCCCACCCCAGAGGGCCCAGCAGCAGCAAGUGAAGCAGUCUUGUCAGCCGCCCCCUAUUAAAUGUCAAGAGACAUGUGCACCCAAAACCAAGGAUCCAUGUGCUCCCCAGGUCAAGAAGCAAUGCCCACCGAAGGGCACCAUCAUUCCAGCCCAGCAGAAGUGUCCCUCAACCCAGCAAGCCUCCAAGAGUAAACAGAAGUAAGGAUGGACUGGAUAUUACCAUCAUCCACCAUCCUGGCUACCAGAUGGAACUUUCUCUUCUUCCUUCUCCUCUUCCCUCCAGCUCUUGAGCCUACCCUCCUCUCACAUCUCCUCCUGCCCAAGAUGUAAGGAAGCAUUGUAAGGAUUUCUUCCCAUCAUACCCUUCCCCACACAUACCACCUUGGCUUCUUCUAUAUCCCACCCUGAUGCUCUCCCAGAUGGGUGUGAGAGAGACCUCAUUCUCUGCAGGCUCCAGCAUGGCCACAGCUAAGGCCCAUCCAUUUCCCAAAGUGAGGAAAGUGUCCUAUCAUUGUUGGACAUUCGGGUUGGUUCCAAGUCUUUGUUGGGUUCUUCUGGGGUUCCACCCUGACAAGUAGGGUCACAGAGGCUGGUGCACAGUUUCUGCCUCAUUCCUCUCCAUGAUGCCCCCUGCUCUGGGCUUCUCUCCUGUUUUCCCCAAUAAAUAUGUGCUUCAUGUAAUAAAUGUG